GUGGGGAAUAUUGGGCAAUGGGCGCAAGCCUGACCCAGCAACGCCGCGUGAAGGAAGAAGGCUUUCGGGUUGUAAACUUCUUUUCUUAGGGACGAAGCAAGUGACGGUACCUAAGGAAUAAGCCACGGCUAACUACGUGCCAGCAGCCGCGGUAAUACGUAGGUGGCAAGCGUUAUCCGGAUUUACUGGGUGUAAAGGGCGUGUAGGCGGGAUUGCAAGUCAGAUGUGAAAACCACGGGCUCAACCUGUGGCCUGCAUUUGAAACUGUAGUUCUUGAGUACUGGAGAGGCAGACGGAAUUCCUAGUGUAGCGGUGAAAUGCGUAGAUAUUAGGAGGAACACCAGUGGCGAAGGCGGUCUGCUGGACAGCAACUGACGCUGAGGCGCGAAAGCGUGGGGAGCAAACAGGAUUAGAAACCCUAGUAGUCC
This 428-nucleotide ribosomal RNA is filed under the name uncultured bacterium. RNAcentral's name for it is "bacterial SSU rRNA". It matches the Rfam family "Bacterial small subunit ribosomal RNA", at positions 354 to 796 of the family's 1533-position model. The record is from RNAcentral.